RNAcentral lists this ribosomal RNA (459 nucleotides) under uncultured bacterium. RNAcentral's name for it is "partial 16S ribosomal RNA". It matches the Rfam family "Bacterial small subunit ribosomal RNA", at positions 338 to 795 of the family's 1533-position model. The record is from RNAcentral.
CCUACGGGAGGCAGCAGUGAGGAAUAUUGGUCAAUGGGCGCGAGCCUGAACCAGCCAAGUAGCGUGAAGGAUGACUGCCCUACGGGUUGUAAACUUCUUUUAUAAAGGAAUAACGUGAGGCACGUGUGCCUUUUUGUAUGUACUUUAAGAAUAAGGAUCGGCUAACUCCGUACCAGCAGCCGCGGUAAUACGGAGGAUCCGAGGGUUAUCCGGAUUUAUUGGGUUAAAGGGGUGCGCAGGGGGAUUUUUAAGGCAGCGGUCAAGUCGUGGGGCUCAACCCCGUCCAGCCGUUGAAACUGGGGUUCUAGAGUGUGCGAGAGGUAGACGGAAUGCGUGGUGUAGCGGUGAAAUGCGUAGAUAUCACGCAGAACCCCGAUUGCGAAGGCAGCAUGCCGGAGAACAACUGACGCUCAGGCACGAAAGCGUGGGUAGCGAACAGGAUUAGAUACCCUUGUAGUC